CUUAUUAUGGCAGUAACCUGGAACAGUUGAUGCACCAAUAGAUGUACUUUUAAAUUUAAUAUGCACAUGCCCAGUUUGCUGCUUAUCUGACUAGAUGGGACAAUACCCCUAAUGCGCCUUGAAAUGAGGAACACAAAAGUCACGUGUAAACAAAAAAUCUCUGUGUAGUGAUAUUUGACACAUUUCUAUGAUAAACAAAUAACUGAGCUGAACCAUUAGUGUUAAUUUAGAAAAUAAGGGAACACAGAAUAAAUGUGUAAAAACCAUGGAGCUAUGAAAUGUGUUCAAAGUAUUAAAAUUUCAAAGAACUUAUUGUGUUAAAAUUGGGAUUUUUUACCAUGAGGAGCGACAUCGCAAAAGGAUACUCGGGGUUUGCUAAAUAACGGAAAAAUGAAUCACACUUCGUACCCCGAAAAUUUAACCACAUAUGUAAAAAUGUCUCAGCUUCGAAACAAGCCAUCAUACAUAUACAAGUUUACGAUAUGGGCUGAGCAACAGAAGAAAACGUUACCAUUACGGCCUAUGGAAUAACAAUUGCGCAUAUUGCCCCAUCUUGUGAGAAAGGAUCCAGAGAUGUCUUUAGCUAAUUUCACCUUGUACACCACAGAAAAUUGUUAAAAUGAUGUUCCAGACAUAUCAUUACUUUUAAAUAUGAGAUGACAAACUAAAGGUUUUAAAAAGUCCUGAAUAACUGAAAUGGACAAAAAUACACAGAUUUAUUCAGAAUGUCAUACUGAUGAAGAUCACCUAAAAAUAUUUGGAAAAAUCAGAACUAUGGAUUUCAAUAUGGGACAAUACCCCUAAUGAGCCUUGAAAUGAGGAACACAAAAGUCACAUGUAAACAAAAAAUCUCUGUGUAGUGAUAUUUGACACAUUUCUAUGAUAAACAAAUAACUGAGCUGAACCAUUAGUGUUAAUUUAGAAAAUAAGGGAACACAGAAUAAAUGUGUAAAAACCAUGGAGCUAUGAAAUGUGUUCAAAGUAUUAAAAUUUCAAAGAACUUAUUGUGUUAAAAUUGGGAUUUUUUACCAUGAGGAGCGACAUCGCAAAAGGAUACUCAGGGUUUGCUAAAUUACGGAAAAAUGAAUCACACUUCGUACCCCGAAAAUUUAACCACAUAUGUAAAAAUGUCUCAGCUUCGAAACAAGCCAUCAUACAUAUACAAGUUUACGAUAUGGGCUGAGCAACAGAAGAAAAUGUUACCAUUACGGCCUAUGGAAUAACAAUUGCGCAUA
Molecule: long non-coding RNA, 1235 nt
Organism: Mytilus trossulus (common blue mussel)
Lineage: Eukaryota; Metazoa; Mollusca; Bivalvia; Mytilida; Mytilidae
Exons: 3
Source: RefSeq, a predicted model, not a curated record